CUCGUACACACCGCCCGUCACACCAUGGGAGUGGGUUUCACCAGAAGUAGGUAGUCUAACCGCAAGGAGGGCGCUUACCACGGUGGGAUUCAUGACUGGGGUG
This 103-nucleotide ribosomal RNA is filed under the name uncultured bacterium. Its description in RNAcentral is "partial 16S ribosomal RNA". It matches the Rfam family "Bacterial small subunit ribosomal RNA", at positions 1380 to 1482 of the family's 1533-position model. The record is from RNAcentral.